UACGGGGGGAGCAAGUGUUGUUCGGAUUUACUGGGCGUAAAGGGCGCGUAGGCGGCGUAACAAGUCACUUGUGAAAUCUCCGGGCUUAACCCGGAGCGGCCAAGUGAUACUGUUGUGCUAGAGUGCGGAAGGGGCUACUGGAAUUCUCGGUGUAGCAGUGAAAUGCGUAGAUAUCGAGAGGAACACCUGCGGCGAAGGCGGGUAGCUGGGCCGACACUGACGCUGAGGCGCGAAAGCCAGGGGAGCGAACGGG
This 253-nucleotide ribosomal RNA is filed under the name uncultured bacterium. Its description in RNAcentral is "partial 16S ribosomal RNA". It matches the Rfam family "Bacterial small subunit ribosomal RNA", at positions 524 to 776 of the family's 1533-position model. The record is from RNAcentral.